Molecule: long non-coding RNA, 225 nt
Filed under: Lathyrus oleraceus (garden pea)
Lineage: Eukaryota; Viridiplantae; Streptophyta; Magnoliopsida; Fabales; Fabaceae
Description: Pisum sativum (pea) long non-coding RNA (PSAT_LNC023067)
Source: RNAcentral
ACAUUUGUCAUCAUAAGCGAUAUUCAAGUAUGUCUUUAUCACUCUGACUUUGCGUAGGUUCUCUGAGAAUAUCACUAUAUAUAUACACAUACUGAGGCACGUUGUUUGAAUAAUAGCCCAUGAGCCUUUCUGGUCAUCCCUUUAAUAUUAUCCCUUGUUAACCCCGUUGAGCCUAUAUCCUUUGUUUGUAUGUAUAACCACAUGAAUGUAACCCGAGGCCCAAAC